This 253-nucleotide ribosomal RNA is filed under the name uncultured bacterium. RNAcentral's name for it is "partial 16S ribosomal RNA". It matches the Rfam family "Bacterial small subunit ribosomal RNA", at positions 524 to 776 of the family's 1533-position model. The record is from RNAcentral.
UACGAAGGGGGCUAGCGUUGUUCGGAUUUACUGGGCGUAAAGCGCACGUAGGCGGAUAUUUAAGUCAGAGGUGAAAUCCCAGGGCUCAACCCUGGAAUUGCCUUUGAUACUGGAUAUCUAGAGUACAGAAGAGGUAAGUGGAAUUCCGAGUGUAGAGGUGAAAUUCGUAGAUAUUCGGAGGAACACCAGUGGCGAAGGCGGCUUACUGGUCUGUUACUGACGCUGAGGUGCGAAAGCGUGGGGAGCAAACAGG